Molecule: ribosomal RNA, 253 nt
Filed under: uncultured bacterium
Lineage: Bacteria
Description: partial 16S ribosomal RNA
Rfam family: Bacterial small subunit ribosomal RNA
Source: RNAcentral
UACGUAGGGGGCAAGCGUUGUCCGGAGUUACUGGGCGUAAAGCGCACGCAGGCGGUCUGUUAAGUUUGGAGUGACAGUUGGUGGCUUAACUGCCAAAGUGCUUCGAAAACUGAUCGACUUGAGGGCUUCAGAGGGACACGGAAUUCCGGGUGGAGUGGUGAAAUGCGUAGAGAUCCGGAGGAACACCGAAGGCGAAGGCAGUGUCCUGGGGAGUACCUGACGCUCAGGUGCGAAAGCGUGGGGAGCAAACAGG